RNAcentral lists this long non-coding RNA (534 nucleotides) under Salmo salar (Atlantic salmon). Its description in RNAcentral is "lncRNA (ENSSSAG00000101491.1)". The record is from RNAcentral. Lineage: Eukaryota; Metazoa; Chordata; Actinopteri; Salmoniformes; Salmonidae.
GCCUUGUUUUAAUAAAAAGUUUGAUGUCAAAUUUUAACAAAUUAUGGUAAUGUUGUAUGUCCAAACAUCAAUAUUCAAUUACAUUGAAAUGUAUGGGUUUUCAGGUAAUGUAGGCUAUAGUGCAAUGUCACUCAAUGUCACUCAAUGUCGCACAAUGUCGCUUACAUAUCAAAUGAUCCAGGUUCUUCCACCAUGGUUCCCACAUGUUCAGACAUAUCAAAUGAUCCAGGUUCUUCCACCAUGGUUCCACAUGUUAAGAAAUAUCAAAUUAUCCAGGUUCUUCCACCAUGGUUCCACAUGUUCAGACAUAUCAAAUUAUCCAGGUUCUUCCAUCAUGGUUCCCAAAUGUUCAGACAUAUCAAAUGAUCCAGGUUCUUCCACCAUGGUUCCACAUGUUCAGACAUAUCAAAUGAUCCAGGUUCUUCCACCAUGGUUCCACAUGUUCAGACAUAUCAAAUGAUCCAGGUUCUUCCACCAUGGUUCCACAUGUUCAAAUUAUUUUAAAGGCGGCCUUAACUCUGUAUAUUGUUGAAU